RNAcentral lists this non-coding RNA (29 nucleotides) under Rattus norvegicus (Norway rat). Lineage: Eukaryota; Metazoa; Chordata; Mammalia; Rodentia; Muridae. The record is from RNAcentral.
UAGGAACGCUUUCAAUAAUGAUUCACAGU